This 494-nucleotide ribosomal RNA is filed under the name uncultured bacterium. Its description in RNAcentral is "partial 16S ribosomal RNA". It matches the Rfam family "Bacterial small subunit ribosomal RNA", at positions 28 to 507 of the family's 1533-position model. The record is from RNAcentral.
GACGAACGCUGGCGGCGUGCUUAACACAUGCAAGUCGAACGGUGAAGCGCCUUCCUUUUUGGUGGGUGUGGAUGAGUGGCGAACGGGUGAGUAACACGUGAGUAACCUGCCCCCUUCUUCUGGAUAACCGCAUGAAAGUGUGGCUAAUACGGGAUAUUCUGGGUCUGUCGCAUGAUGGGUCUGGGAAAGAUAUUGUUUCGGUGGGGGAUGGGCUCGCGGCCUAUCAGCUUGUUGGUGGGGUGAUGGCCUACCAAGGCGGUGACGGGUAGCCGGCCUGAGAGGGUGGACGGUCACACUGGGACUGAGGCACGGCCCAGACUCCUACGGGAGGCAGCAGUGGGGAAUAUUGAACAAUGGGGGCAAGCCUGAUGCAGCGACGCCGCGUGAGGGAUGGAGGCCUUCGGGUUGUGAACCUCUUUCGCCAGUGAAGCAGGCCUGCCUCGUUUGUGGGUGGGUUGACGGUAGCUGGAUAAGAAGCGCCGGCUAACUACGUG